AUUAUUGACGCUCUCUCUCUCUCUCUCUCUCUCUCUCUCUCUGGCUGGCCGGCCGUCAUUCACCGGCGCCGACCAACCCCUCUCUCGAUCUCCGGCGAUUUCUGCUCCCCCUUCGAUCUCUCUCUCUCUCUCUCCCCUGCAUCUGGCUUUUUUCCCCCAUUUUCCGGCAUGCUCUCCCUUUCUCCGGCGAUUCUUCUCGUUUUCCGGGGUGCUAGCUCUUCUCCGGCGUAAAAGGUACUCUCCGGCGUCCGGAUCGGUGAGUCUGAGCCCCACGGGCUUUCAGGUUUGGGUUAUCUCUGAGUUUUUCGCUUGAAUCGGCAGGUUAUGCUUUGGAAGACUGCUUUGUGGCUUUUUGUUGUUGAGUGUGAUGCAGAAGAACAUGUUGUAGCAGCCGAGAAUUAUGGAGGUCAAGAUAAAAUGCCUUAUGAAUUUGAAUUGAAAAUACAAAUAUAAUGGAAUCUCUGGAAUAUAAUGGAAUGUAGAUGAUGUACUUGAAUUUGUAACUUGUAGUUUCUAUUUUUUUUUUUUUGAACAAGCAUUUCAAACAUUCAUUCUCUGAUGUUUAUGUUGAGGAAUGGUUGAAUUGUACUUGGCUACUUGGUUCUUGGAGAAAUAGAUGGAAUGGUCGAAUGUUUAGGUUCUACUACUAGUUGCUUUGUUCCUCUUUUCUGUUCUAGCUGCUUGUUUUGUUUUGGGCAGUUUGAAGACGGUUUUGGUUUUUGUAUCGUUGGUUGCUGUGUUUUGUCCUGAAGCAGGGGAUGUGUUGUUGCUGGUUUCUAGUACAAAUUUUGCUUUGUGUUGUUUCAGGUUGAGUGUAUUUUUCUUUUUGUUUUGGCCGUUCAUAAAAAAAGAAGAGAAAAGAAAUUGUUGUGUGACUGACUAUUAUAUUGGACAGAUGAACCGAUUGUGUUGUUCAUGUUCGUUUUGGGUAUCAAA
Molecule: long non-coding RNA, 936 nt
Organism: Alnus glutinosa
Lineage: Eukaryota; Viridiplantae; Streptophyta; Magnoliopsida; Fagales; Betulaceae
Exons: 2
Source: RefSeq, a predicted model, not a curated record